CCUACGGGGAGCAGCAGUGGGGAAUAUUGGGCAAUGGAGGAAACUCUGACCCAGCAAUGCCGCGUGAAUGAAGAAGGUCUUCGGAUUGUAAAGUUCUUUAGUCAGGGAAGAAGUCAAUGACGGUACCUGCAGAAUAAGCUCCGGCUAACUACGUGCCAGCAGCCGCGGUAAUACGGAGGGUGCAAGCGUUACUCGGAAUCACUGGGCGUAAAGAGCGCGUAGGCGGGAUAGCAAGUCAGAUGUGAAAUCCUAUGGCUUAACCAUAGAACGGCAUUUGAAACUGUUAUUCUAGAGUAUGGGAGAGGUAGGUGGAAUUCUUGGUGUAGGGGUGAAAUGCGUAGAGAUCAAGAGGAAUACUCAUUGCGAAGGCGACCUGCUAGAACAUAACUGACGCUGAUGCGCGAAAGCGUGGGGAGCGAACAGGAUUAGAUACCCGGGUAGUC
This 443-nucleotide ribosomal RNA is filed under the name uncultured bacterium. RNAcentral describes it as "partial 16S ribosomal RNA". It matches the Rfam family "Bacterial small subunit ribosomal RNA", at positions 338 to 795 of the family's 1533-position model. The record is from RNAcentral.